CAUGAUUUCCGGCAGAUGGUCGCUCGCGCGAGCGAGAGGAAAGUCCGGGCACCGCAGGGCAAUCCGCCGAUUGUGAAAAUCGGGCGCUGAUCGUGAAGGGUCAGUGACGGAAAGUGUCACAGAAAACAAACCGCCGUCAGCGGACGGCAAGGGUGAAACGGUGGGGCAAGAGCCUACCGCGCGAAGGGCAACCGACGCGGCACGACAAACCCCGGAUGGUGCAAGGUUGAACAGGAAGCAAUGGCGGCCCGCCAGCCGUGAGGCGCUUCCGGGUAAACCGCAGCCGCGAGGCUGCCGCAAGGCAAGAUAAAUGACCGUCACCCCGCGAGGGGCACAGAACCCGGCUUAUCGCCGACCAUGAAGG
Molecule: RNase P RNA, 364 nt
Filed under: Verrucomicrobiales bacterium
Lineage: Bacteria; Pseudomonadati; Verrucomicrobiota; Verrucomicrobiia; Verrucomicrobiales
Description: RNase P RNA component class A
Rfam family: Bacterial RNase P class A
About the family: Ribonuclease P (RNase P) is a ubiquitous endoribonuclease, found in archaea, bacteria and eukarya as well as chloroplasts and mitochondria.
Source: RNAcentral